CUACGGGGGGCAGCAGUGAGGAAUAUUGCACAAUGGGGGGAACCCUGAUGCAGCAACGCCGCGUGGAGGAUGACGCAUUUCGGUGUGUAAACUCCUUUUAUAUGUCAAGAAAAUGACGGUAGCAUAUGAAUAAGCACCGGCUAACUCCGUGCCAGCAGCCGCGGUAAUACGGAGGGUGCAUGCGUUACUCGGAAUCACUGGGCGUAAAGGACGCGUAGGCGGGUUGGAAAGUCAGGUGUGAAAUCCUACAGCUUAACUGUAGAACUGCACUUGAAACUUCUAAUCUAGAGUAUGGGAGGGGGAGAUGGAAUUAGUGGUGUAGGGGUAAAAUCCGUAGAUAUCACUAGGAAUACCUAAAGCGAAGGCGAUCUCCUGGAACAUUACUGACGCUAAGGCGUGAAAGCGUGGGGUGCAAACAGGAUUAGAUACCCCUGUAGUC
Molecule: ribosomal RNA, 439 nt
Filed under: uncultured bacterium
Lineage: Bacteria
Description: partial 16S ribosomal RNA
Rfam family: Bacterial small subunit ribosomal RNA
Source: RNAcentral